Molecule: ribosomal RNA, 383 nt
Filed under: uncultured bacterium
Lineage: Bacteria
Description: bacterial SSU rRNA
Rfam family: Bacterial small subunit ribosomal RNA
Source: RNAcentral
GACAAACGCUGGCGGCGUGCAUAAAACAUGCAAGUCGAACGGACUCCAGUCCGCAAGGACUGGAGUGAGUGGCGAACGGCUGAGUAACACGUAGGUGACCUGCCCCGAAGUUUGGGAUAACACCUCGAAAGAGGUGCUAAUACCGGAUGUGACCACCGAUUCAUUUCGGUGCUUAAAGUCGUAAGACGCUUUGGGAGGGGCCUGCGGCGGAUUAGCUAGUUGGUGUGGUAACGGCACACCAAGGCUUCGAUCCGUAGCUGGUCUGAGAGGAUGGCCAGCCAGACUGGGACUGAGACACGGCCCAGACUCCUACGGGAGGCAGCAGUUAGGAAUUUUGCGCAAUGGAGGAAACUCUGACGCAGCCACGCCGCGUGAGGGAUGAA